UAAGCACUCUGGAGUCACAUGGUUUGUAUAAUAAUUUGAACAAUGUGUCUCAGAGUGUUGU
This 61-nucleotide microRNA precursor is filed under the name Sarcophilus harrisii (Tasmanian devil). RNAcentral describes it as "Sha-Mir-12475-P11_pre stem-loop". Lineage: Eukaryota; Metazoa; Chordata; Mammalia; Dasyuromorphia; Dasyuridae. The record is from RNAcentral.